UACGUAGGGGGCAAGCGUUGUCCGGAAUUAUUGGGCGUAAAGCGCGUGUAGGCGGCUCGGUAAGUCUGCUGUGAAAGUCCAGGGCUCAACCCUGGAAUGCCGGUGGAUACUGUCGAGCUCGAGUCCGGAAGAGGCGAGUGGAAUUCCUGGUGUAGCGGUGAAAUGCGCAGAUAUCAGGAGGAACACCAAUGGCGAAGGCAGCUCGCUGGGACGGUACUGACGCUGAGACGCGAAAGCGUGGGGAGUAAACAGG
RNAcentral lists this ribosomal RNA (253 nucleotides) under uncultured bacterium. RNAcentral describes it as "partial 16S ribosomal RNA". It matches the Rfam family "Bacterial small subunit ribosomal RNA", at positions 524 to 776 of the family's 1533-position model. The record is from RNAcentral.